GUGGGGAAUAUUGCACAAUGGGGGAAACCCUGAUGCAGCGACGCCGCGUGGAGGAAGAAGGUCUUCGGAUUGUAAACUCCUGUUGUUGAGGAAGAUAAUGACGGUACUCAACAAGGAAGUGACGGCUAACUACGUGCCAGCAGCCGCGGUAAAACGUAGGUCACAAGCGUUGUCCGGAAUUACUGGGUGUAAAGGGAGCGCAGGCGGGAAGACAAGUUGGAAGUGAAAUCCAUGGGCUCAACCCAUGAACUGCUUUCAAAACUGUUUUUCUUGAGUAGUGCAGAGGUAGGCGGAAUUCCCGGUGUAGCGGUGGAAUGCGUAGAUAUCGGGAGGAACACCAGUGGCGAAGGCGGCCUACUGGGCACCAACUGACGCUGAGGCUCGAAAGUGUGGGUAGCAAACAGGAUUAGAUACCCGUGUAGUCC
This 425-nucleotide ribosomal RNA is filed under the name uncultured bacterium. RNAcentral's name for it is "partial 16S ribosomal RNA". It matches the Rfam family "Bacterial small subunit ribosomal RNA", at positions 354 to 796 of the family's 1533-position model. The record is from RNAcentral.